RNAcentral lists this unclassified non-coding RNA (287 nucleotides) under Malassezia restricta. RNAcentral's name for it is "partial internal transcribed spacer region". The stretch from base 1 to 46 matches the Rfam family "Eukaryotic small subunit ribosomal RNA", at positions 1786 to 1831 of the family's 1831-position model. The record is from RNAcentral. Lineage: Eukaryota; Fungi; Basidiomycota; Malasseziomycetes; Malasseziales; Malasseziaceae.
AAGUCGUAACAAGGUCUCCGUAGGUGAACCUGCAGAAGGAUCAUUAGUGAAGAUUUGGGCAGGCCAUACGGACGCCAAAAAGUGUCCCUGGCCGCCUACACCCACUAUACAUCCACAAACCCGUGUGCACUGUCUUGGAGAAAGGCUUCAGAGAAGUUUUUUGUGGCCUCUCUUGGGGUCUUUCUUCGCUACAAACUCGAAUGGUUAGUAUGAACGUGGAACUUGGUUGGACCGUCACUGGCCAACAAACUAUACACAACUUUCGACAACGGAUCUCUUGGUUCUCC